RNAcentral lists this transfer RNA (66 nucleotides) under Adoxophyes honmai (smaller tea tortrix). RNAcentral describes it as "tRNA-Ile". Lineage: Eukaryota; Metazoa; Arthropoda; Insecta; Lepidoptera; Tortricidae. The record is from RNAcentral.
AAUAAAGUGCCUGACAAAAAGGAUUAUUCUGAUAGGAUAAAUUAUGUAGUAUUUACUACCUUUAUU